RNAcentral lists this ribosomal RNA (575 nucleotides) under Aspergillus flavipes. RNAcentral describes it as "eukaryotic LSU rRNA". It matches the Rfam family "Eukaryotic large subunit ribosomal RNA", at positions 58 to 648 of the family's 3401-position model. Lineage: Eukaryota; Fungi; Ascomycota; Eurotiomycetes; Eurotiales; Aspergillaceae. The record is from RNAcentral.
AAAGAAACCAACCGGGAUUGCCUCAGUAACGGCGAGUGAAGCGGCAAGAGCUCAAAUUUGAAAGCUGGCCCCUCCGGGGUCCGCAUUGUAAUUUGCAGAGGAUGCUUCGGGUGCAGCCCCCGUCUAAGUGCCCUGGAAUGGGCCGUCAGAGAGGGUGAGAAUCCCGUCUGGGAUGGGGUGCCUGCGCCCGUGUGAAGCUCCUUCGACGAGUCGAGUUGUUUGGGAAUGCAGCUCUAAAUGGGUGGUAAAUUUCAUCUAAAGCUAAAUAUUGGCCGGAGACCGAUAGCGCACAAGUAGAGUGAUCGAAAGAUGAAAAGCACUUUGAAAAGAGAGUUAAACAGCACGUGAAAUUGUUGAAAGGGAAGCGCUUGCGACCAGACUCGCCCCCGGGGUUCAGCCGGCAUUCGUGCCGGUGUACUUCCCCGGGGGCGGGCCAGCGUCGGUUUGGGCGGCCGGUCAAAGGCCUCCGGAAUGUAGCGCCCUUCGGGGCGCCUUAUAGCCGGGGGUGCAAUGCGGCCAGCCUGGACCGAGGAACGCGCUUCGGCUCGGACGCUGGCAUAAUGGUCGUAAACGAC